GGCUCAGGAUGAACGCUAGCGGCAGGCCUAACACAUGCAAGUCGAACGGUAACAGGAAUUAGCUUGCUAAUUUGCUGACGAGUGGCGCACGGGUGCGUAACGCGUAUGCAACCUACCUUUUACAGGGGGAUAGCCCAGAGAAAUUUGGAUUAAUAUCCUAUAGUAUAUGUUUUUGGCAUCAAAAACAUAUUAAAGUUCCGGCGGUAAAAGAUGGGCAUGCGUUCUAUUAGCUAGAUGGUGUGGUAACGGCACACCAUGGCUACGAUAGAUAGGGGCCCUGAGAGGGGGAUCCCCCACACUGGUACUGAGACACGGACCAGACUCCUACGGGAGGCAGCAGUGAGGAAUAUUGGACAAUGGGCGCAAGCCUGAUCCAGCCAUGCCGCGUGCAGGAAGACUGCCCUAUGGGUUGUAAACUGCUUUUAUACAGGAAGAAACACCUCUACGUGUAGAGGCUUGACGGUACUGUAAGAAUAAGGAUCGGCUAACUCCGUGCCAGCAGCCGCGGUAAUACGGAGGAUCCAAGCGUUAUCCGGAAUCAUUGGGUUUAAAGGGUCCGUAGGUGGAUAAUUAAGUCAGAGGUGAAAUCCUGCAGCUCAACUGUAGAAUUGCCUUUGAUACUGGUUGUCUUGAGUUAUUAUGAAGUAGUUAGAAUAUGUAGUGUAGCGGUGAAAUGCAUAGAUAUUACAUAGAAUACCAAUUGCGAAGGCAGAUUACUAAUAAUCAACUGACACUGAUGGACGAAAGCGUGGGGAGCGAACAGGAUUAGAUACCCUGGUAGUCCACGCCGUAAACGAUGGUCACUAGCUGUUCGAACUUCGGUUUGAGUGGCUAAGCGAAAGUGAU
This 846-nucleotide ribosomal RNA is filed under the name uncultured Formosa sp. Its description in RNAcentral is "bacterial SSU rRNA". It matches the Rfam family "Bacterial small subunit ribosomal RNA", at positions 21 to 861 of the family's 1533-position model. The record is from RNAcentral. Lineage: Bacteria; Pseudomonadati; Bacteroidota; Flavobacteriia; Flavobacteriales; Flavobacteriaceae.